RNAcentral lists this ribosomal RNA (890 nucleotides) under Kocuria sp. DWM134a. Its description in RNAcentral is "bacterial SSU rRNA". It matches the Rfam family "Bacterial small subunit ribosomal RNA", at positions 97 to 997 of the family's 1533-position model. The record is from RNAcentral. Lineage: Bacteria; Bacillati; Actinomycetota; Actinomycetes; Micrococcales; Micrococcaceae.
GGCGAACGGGUGAGUAAUACGUGAGUAACCUGCCCUUGACUCUGGGAUAAGCCCGGGAAACUGGGUCUAAUACUGGAUGCUACAUGUCACCGCAUGGUGGUGUGUGGAAAGGGUUUACUGGUCUUGGAUGGGCUCACGGCCUAUCAGCUUGUUGGUGAGGUAAUGGCUCACCAAGGCGACGACGGGUAGCCGGCCUGAGAGGGUGACCGGCCACACUGGGACUGAGACACGGCCCAGACUCCUACGGGAGGCAGCAGUGGGGAAUAUUGCACAAUGGGCGAAAGCCUGAUGCAGCGACGCCGCGUGAGGGAUGACGGCCUUCGGGUUGUAAACCUCUUUCAGCAGGGAAGAAGCCACAAGUGACGGUACCUGCAGAAGAAGCGCCGGCUAACUACGUGCCAGCAGCCGCGGUAAUACGUAGGGCGCAAGCGUUGUCCGGAAUUAUUGGGCGUAAAGAGCUCGUAGGCGGUUUGUCGCGUCUGCUGUGAAAGCCCGGGGCUUAACCCCGGGUGUGCAGUGGGUACGGGCAGACUAGAGUGCAGUAGGGGAGACUGGAAUUCCUGGUGUAGCGGUGGAAUGCGCAGAUAUCAGGAGGAACACCGAUGGCGAAGGCAGGUCUCUGGGCUGUUACUGACGCUGAGGAGCGAAAGCAUGGGGAGCGAACAGGAUUAGAUACCCUGGUAGUCCAUGCCGUAAACGUUGGGCACUAGGUGUGGGGGACAUUCCACGUUUUCCGCGCCGUAGCUAACGCAUUAAGUGCCCCGCCUGGGGAGUACGGCCGCAAGGCUAAAACUCAAAGGAAUUGACGGGGGCCCGCACAAGCGGCGGAGCAUGCGGAUUAAUUCGAUGCAACGCGAAGAACCUUACCAAGGCUUGACAUAUACCGGAUC